UACGAAGGGGGCAAGCGUUGUUCGGAAUUACUGGGCGUAAAGGGCGCGUAGGCGGAUAUAUCAGUUAGGGGUGAAAUCCCAGGGCUCAACCCUGGAACUGCCUUUAAUACAAUAUAUCUAGAGAUUGUGAGGGGAUAGCGGAAUAUCUAGUGUAGGGGUGAAAUCCGUAGAUAUUAGAUGGAACACCAGAGGCGAAGGCGGCUAUCUGGCACAAUACUGACGCUGAGGCGCGAAAGCGUAGGUAGCAAACAGG
RNAcentral lists this ribosomal RNA (253 nucleotides) under uncultured bacterium. RNAcentral describes it as "partial 16S ribosomal RNA". It matches the Rfam family "Bacterial small subunit ribosomal RNA", at positions 524 to 776 of the family's 1533-position model. The record is from RNAcentral.